RNAcentral lists this ribosomal RNA (106 nucleotides) under Sphingomonas melonis. RNAcentral's name for it is "partial 16S ribosomal RNA". It matches the Rfam family "Bacterial small subunit ribosomal RNA", at positions 1 to 113 of the family's 1533-position model. The record is from RNAcentral. Lineage: Bacteria; Pseudomonadati; Pseudomonadota; Alphaproteobacteria; Sphingomonadales; Sphingomonadaceae.
AUAAACUUGAGAGUUUGAUCAUGGCUCAGAACGAACGCUGGCGGCAUGCCUAACACAUGCAAGUCGAACGAGUGCCUUCGGGUGCUAGUGGCGCACGGGUGCGUAA